AUGAGAGAAGCCACCCGAUCGGAGGAGAACUGAGAAAGACAGGCUGUCUUUGGGUUCGCAGGGAGAGGCAUAUAUAAAUUGGCGCCAAGAGCAGACGACAGUAUAAUCAUCUUCUCAACGCAUAUCUCAACUUCCUGAGAUCAUAUCGAGAAAAAAACCAACGAUUUGCCACAAUGAAUAAACGAUUGAAGGAAGGAGGUGGAAGAAAAUGAGAAAACAAGUUUACACUCACCCACGCACACUCAUUUUGUUGGUAAUCGAACGAACGAGAAACUAAGAAACAGUAACCAAUUUUCGGAUUAGAAUCGACUGAAGAAACGGAUUAUGGAUUUGAAAAGAGAAACUCGUUUUUUGGAGGUAGUUCAGUUUAGGUAUGACGAUGUGAAUUAAGGCAUUAGAUGAAAAAAAAUCAGAAAGUAACUGGAGAGGUAAAGGUAUGGAAUUAAAGAAUUGCUUUAUCGAAACAGUUCAGAAUUUUCGAGAAACCCUUUGAGGACAAACAUGGUUUUCAAAAACCAAUGACAAAUAUGCAUUCUGAAAGUAACCACAAUUCUUAGAAGGCUUUUGUAAGAUUUUCAAUAGAUUGAGUGAAUGACAUGCCACCCACUAGCAUCUUUUAAUUGAGAUAAUAUAAGACGAGAAAACGAAAUUCCGAUAAAUAUAGAAAUUGAAAUUUCGGAUGAACAUAAAUGAAAUGAGUCAAAUGGAAGAAGUGAAAAGAACGAGAGAAUAAAGAAAAGAUGAAUUCGUAAUUUCGGGUAAGUCGCCGCCUUUUGCCCUCUCCUUCAUCUUAUUCUAACCUGACGAAGAACAAGGUCAAUACCCCAUUCUUUUCAAUGUCCCUUUAAUACCAUUUAACAGUGAUGGCGCACUUACGGAAGAACACAUCUCGAGAAAUGGGUGCCAGAUAACAUCUCACUUAUCACGUUUGUGGCUGGAGUAAAUACGGAUUAGGUUAAGGGUUAUAAUUACACAAAUAUAAUUAACUAGGUAAUUACCUUAAGGCCCCAUUAGAACAGUGUCUUCAAGGGAAACUUGUAUUAAAAGGGAAAAAUGUAGGAAAUGACUUUGAAUUAUUUUUUAAAUUUUAAAGCUGUGUUUGGUAUCUAGAAAUCGGUAAUUUUAGGACAGUGAUGUCACAAGCGUACUUGUUUGCAACCAAGCUCAAGAAAUAAAACGAUUUAUACGCUGAAAUUGUUCAUAAAAGUUUAUAAAAUCAAUUAAAAUGUUUAUUUUGUGUAAGUAGUUAGAAAAGGGUUUUGUGUAGUGAAAGCAAUAAAAGUGCAAGAAGCACGAAGGCCAUAGACAUGAGAAUCAGGAAAGGAAGUCACCAAUUUUCUUGUCACGUCAGAAUUCAUGUGAAUUACCACUAUAACUUUUUUAUUCGCAAUUUCAAUUUGACAUUUAAGAAAAAUGUUGUUUAAGUUAGUUUCAAGUUGAAUUUUUUGGAAUUUUUUGGGUAAAAGUGUCAUUUCACUUGUGUUUUCAGAAAGGGCACAAUAUACAGAACCCAUAUAUGAGCGGAACCUUUAACAAAGAUUUUUGAGAGUUCUAACUAAUCUCCUAACUAAAUAAAUGUUUUAAAAGUUUCAAAAAGGAAAGAAAAUUUAUCGUUAAAAAAUAGUAGUAAUGUAAUUAAAUAUAUUACUGUGCUCCAUAUUGCCAAUUUUAUGUUUCAAAAGUAGAAUAAAUGUGGUAUCGAAAUGGUAAGUUCAAAAACCGGACAAAAUCUCAUCAAAAUGAGAAAACAACCACACCCUCGUAAUAUACUGUCCACACUGACCUACUGCACGCCCGAACCUAAUAAAAUUCAAAUGACUUGUCAACUUUUACGAGAGAAGAUUCAACACAUCUCAAGUUUCAUAUUGUUUCGACGCAACACAAAAAAAGAUAGAAAUAUGAGACGUCUUUGGGUGCACGGGGAAAAAAGUUUGACAGCUGUUGUGGUGAGUACACUUUAAAGGGAAACAACCAAACAGAAAAACUAGACUGAUAAGCAUCUAAAUCGGUGUCCAGGGAUCUAUUUGUCUAUUUGGCAGACUAACACACAGUUUGCACGGAUUCUGUGAAAAACGAGGAAAAAUUAGAAAAUUAGUUUACUUAUAGAAAUAAAACUUAUUUAUGUAUGUUUUGGAAUAACAAUUUGAUCAAAACUUAAAAUUCGAAAAGCUUCUCCACACUAUAGCCAACUGGAGCAAGGAAAUAUUUUCUAAACGUUGCCUCCUUUCUUAAUUAGUGCCUUGUUGUUUCUAUUAUGUGAAUGGAUUUAAUUUUCUUGUUAUAUUUCUUCUCUCACAAGUACCAGAUGUGACUGAGCUUCACCAAAAAAAUUUCAUGAGGGCCAUAGUAACAGUGAUUAAAGUAUUAAAAACGAAAACAAAGCUAGAAGCGAAUUUCAACAGAUUGCAACUAGAAACUGCAAAGUGAGACAAUAGGAAAAGUGUGAUUCUUUUGUUGUUUUUGUUACAACUGACUGGGCGACUCACAAAGAUUGAUGGCUUCUGGCACAACUCGGUUUUAUGAGUUUUCAUUUGAGAAACACGCUGUUGCAAUGAAAGAGGACAACUCAAGAAAAUGGGAAGACAAUGGGAUGAGUAACACCUCGGAAAUCGAGAAGGCUUUCAUUUUUGUUUUUGAAAGUAUUGAGCACAAACUUUGGAAACAAUUUGGAAAAGAUUCAGCUCAGAUUUAAGUGUCAUAGUUUCAAAGAACGAAAAGAGUAAUGUCAAGAAAAAAGUUCACCAAAUCAGAUUGACCGGUUGCAGACCACGGGAUGGUGGCAGUUUCAGCUGGAGUACCAUGGUUGCAAAUGCAAAUGCAGCCUCAGGAUCAGUGUUGAAGCUGGGGCGACGUGAACUACGACGAUGAAACUCCAGCAUUUCAGUCUUCUCAAUAUUCACAAUCUUCCCAUCUUCAUAGCAUUCUCAAAUAUUCGGAAACCCGCGUGGCUUAUUGAAUAAAAGAAGACGAUGAACGAGAAAAAGAAUCUUCUAUGACGGAACUCACAGAAGAACGGUACAUUAGGGAUCUUUCCACAUUUGUCAAUAGUUCUCGUGGAGAUGUUUGGACAUUGAACAAGACUCCAUACGGAAUCACGGCCAAACAAUCAGCUAUCUGCCGUUUUGAUGAUCAAGUUAUAAAUCGCCAAGCCCAAUUUCAAUUUAAUCGAAAAUUGGCUCGACUCGAGUUAUGGUUUAUGUUUUAUUGUAGGAAUGGCCGACCACUUCGAGUUCGUCAGAUAGCCGAAAUACUUGGCACAAAGCCAGAGGAAAACGAUGCUAUUGUUAUCGAGUUGUCCACACAUCCAACUCUACAAAUCCCUUACUACAAAUUGUAUAAAAAUCCGGAUGAUGCUUCUGAUUUGAUUGGAGAAAUACCAAUUAGAGAUAAUUAUAUAUUAAGAUGGAUAAACGCAUUUGGUGCUGAAGCUGGUUUGGGAACCAAGUGCAAUAAGGAAACCUAUUCUGAAUGCAACUCAUCUUGUAAUCAAUCAACAACAAGUACUGAAGACUCUUAGUU
RNAcentral lists this unclassified non-coding RNA (3519 nucleotides) under Caenorhabditis elegans. RNAcentral describes it as "Non-coding transcript of protein-coding gene D2085.7b". The record is from RNAcentral. Lineage: Eukaryota; Metazoa; Nematoda; Chromadorea; Rhabditida; Rhabditidae.